GCGCCCGUAGCUCAGCGGAUAGAGCACCGGACUUCUAAUCCGAUGGUCGGAGGUUCGAAUCCUCCCGGGCGCACCC
Molecule: transfer RNA, 76 nt
Filed under: Actinopolymorpha singaporensis
Lineage: Bacteria; Bacillati; Actinomycetota; Actinomycetes; Propionibacteriales; Actinopolymorphaceae
Description: tRNA_Arg_TCT
Rfam family: tRNA
About the family: Transfer RNA (tRNA) molecules are approximately 80 nucleotides in length.
Source: RNAcentral